AGCUUGUGGGAUGGAUCAGUGGCGAACGGGUGAGUAACACGUGAGCAACCUGCCCUCCACUUCGGGAUAAGCCUUGGAAACGGGGUCUAAUACCGGAUAUGAGCUCCUGUCGCAUGGCAGGUGUUGGAAAGUUUUUCGGUGGGGGAUGGGCUCGCGGCCUAUCAGCUUGUUGGUGGGGUGAUGGCCUACCAAGGCGUCGACGGGUAGCCGGCCUGAGAGGGCGACCGGCCACACUGGGACUGAGACACGGCCCAGACUCCUACGGGAGGCAGCAGUGGGGAAUAUUGCACAAUGGGCGAAAGCCUGAUGCAGCGACGCCGCGUGAGGGAUGACGGCCUUCGGGUUGUAAACCUCUUUCAGCAGGGAAGAAGCGCAAGUGACGGUACCUGCAGAAGAAGCGCCGGCUAACUACGUGCCA
Molecule: ribosomal RNA, 418 nt
Filed under: Promicromonospora sp. Bacteria_5
Lineage: Bacteria; Bacillati; Actinomycetota; Actinomycetes; Micrococcales; Promicromonosporaceae
Description: bacterial SSU rRNA
Rfam family: Bacterial small subunit ribosomal RNA
Source: RNAcentral